AGUCCCGAUUCAGGUUUUUGUGCCUGCAUCCCAAACAACCACUGAGACAGAUUUUGAACCAACCCCUAUGCUACAGAUUGAAGGGACUACAGAAACCACUCCUGAAACCCCCAAACAACUUCAAGAGACCACACCCACGAUUCCCCCAGCUCCAACUAAAAUUCAUCCAGCUGCAGAAGACGCUGCUGCCCUGUUGAU
Molecule: non-coding RNA, 198 nt
Organism: Arachis ipaensis
Lineage: Eukaryota; Viridiplantae; Streptophyta; Magnoliopsida; Fabales; Fabaceae
Source: RefSeq, a predicted model, not a curated record